This is a long non-coding RNA of Bufo gargarizans (Asiatic toad), 239 nucleotides long. RefSeq lists it as uncharacterized. The transcript has 3 exons. NCBI's taxonomy places the organism in Eukaryota, Metazoa, Chordata, Amphibia, Anura, Bufonidae. The record is from RefSeq and is a predicted model, not a curated record.
ACAUGAGCAGAAGAUCCUAGAACUCACCCACAAGAUGAUGGAGCUGCUGACUGGAGAGGUUCCUAUAAGGUGUCAGGAUGUCACUGUCUAUUUCUCCAUGGAGGAGUGGAAGUAUAUAGAAGGCCACAAGGAUCUGUACGAGGAGACCAUGAUGGAGGAGCACCAGCCUCUUAUAUCACAAGAUGGAUCCAGGAGGAGAAAACCACUAGAGAGAUGUCCCCGUCCUCUGUAUUCCCAGG